Nicotiana tabacum (common tobacco) is the source of this 814-nucleotide long non-coding RNA. RefSeq lists it as uncharacterized. Lineage: Eukaryota; Viridiplantae; Streptophyta; Magnoliopsida; Solanales; Solanaceae. The record is from RefSeq and is a predicted model, not a curated record.
CCAAACAAGACUGAACCCAUUACCCCUUCUUCUUUAAACCUAGCCCUAGAAAGACCUUAUUCUUCUUCCUUAGAAAAGAAAAAAAAACCUAGGACACAAGACUAAAAAUCCAUGGCAGCUUUCUUCUUCAACAAGACACCACCCAAAAACCUAGCUGAACCCAAGCACCCUUAGAGACCCCAGCCGCCGGCCAUCUCCCAACCCAAACUCGCCGGACCUUCUUUUUCAACAAGAAGACAACACAAGACUAUAGACCCAUGGCUGCCUUCCUCGUCUUCCUCAGCUUAACGGCCAAACGAUCCCACCCUCACACCCUUCUGCCGCUACCCCAAAAAUCAACCAGCCGCAGUCUCCUUCAACGACAAACCAGCCACGCAACCACCCUUCACCGCCAUAAAAAACAGCUGCCGCACCAUCCCUUAUUCUCUAACCAGCCAUUUCCAGCCUCACGUACUUUGAUGGAACUCGAUGAGAUGCGGCCAAGAUCGAGUUCGAGUUUGCUGACGAGUCUCCUCCGGUCAAAGGUUCCUGUUUGGUUGAGUUAGAUUGUUGUCCAUUCUCGGAGGAAUUUAUUUUUUAAAUAUGAAAGCUCGAUUAAAGGUGUGGAUCUACGUACCAGGACUCGAGCAUGACAGAUACCCCAGGACAAUUGCGUCCAGGAGUUACUUGAUGAGACUUUUUAUAUUUUGAGCCUGUUUUAAGUCUCUUAGGUGGUUUAAGAGUUUGUCGAGUCUUUCAUUAUUGUACUUUCUGUUUUGUAUUUGAAAGACCAAAAAAUAUAAAUGAAAAAUUCAAAAAGAUUUUUGUUUCUUAA